RNAcentral lists this ribosomal RNA (393 nucleotides) under uncultured bacterium. Its description in RNAcentral is "partial 16S ribosomal RNA". It matches the Rfam family "Bacterial small subunit ribosomal RNA", at positions 523 to 918 of the family's 1533-position model. The record is from RNAcentral.
AUACGGAGGAUGCAAGCGUUAUCCGGAUUUAUUGGGUUUAAAGGGUGCGUAGGCGGUUUGCUAAGCGGGAGGUGAAAUGCCGGCGCUCAACGUCGGAAGUGCCUCCCGAACUGGUGGACUUGAAUGACUCUGCCGUGGGAGGAAUGUGUAGUGUAGCGGCGAAAUGCUUAGAGAUUACACAGAACACCGAUUGCGAAGGCAUCUCACGAAGGGUUGAUUGACGCUGAGGCACGAAAGCGUGGGGAUCAAACAGGAUUAGAUACCCUGGUAGUCCACGCAGUAAACGAUGAUGGCUAACCGCUGGGCUUAUCAGUUCAGUGGCCAAGCGAAAGCGAUAAGCCAUCCACCUGGGGAGUACGACCGCAAGGUUGAAACUCAAAUGAAUUGGCGGGG